GUGUCACGCCGGAUCCUCCCCUUUUGCGGUUGCUAAAGACAUUUCAGCCUGUCUUUUCAGUGUGUGUCCCUGUUGGAUGCUGCUUUGGAUCUGUUUAUUGCCCUCCCUGCAGUUUAACAGCAGGUUAUUUGAAGGCUGCGUAUCCUGAGCGGUGAAUUGAUUCUCAGGAACUUAUCUAUCCGCGUUUGGAUCCUCCUUCUCUCCUUCUCUCCUUUUUCGUCCUGGGUGAUUAUUGCUGCGAUUCGACUUUUCCCUCGCUGCGUGCCGAGUGAACAACCUCGGCUUACAACUAUUUAAAAGGGAAUUCUGCUGCUGCCAUUUGGCUUCUGUGAUUUGUUUUAACCGGUAUUGUCUGGUCUACUGUGGGGUCGAGCAACGUGCAAGUAUCGGGGCUGGCUUGAAGACGACGUGGCCGCUCCUUUUGGGAGCUGGGGUCCCACGGGUGAAAGGUCUUUGGUGGUGCUAUUUCUACAUUUGCUGUACGACACUUUUGGCGUGUAUGAGUGGGUGUUUUGAGUUCACGGUGAGGAGCUGGGGUCCCACGGGUAAAAGGUCUUUGGUGGUGCUAUUUCUACAUUUGCUGUACGACACUUUUGACGUGUAUGAGUGGGUGUUUUGAGUUCACGGUGAGGUGUG
Silurus meridionalis is the source of this 636-nucleotide long non-coding RNA. RefSeq lists it as uncharacterized. The transcript is spliced from 6 exons. The record is from RefSeq and is a predicted model, not a curated record. Lineage: Eukaryota; Metazoa; Chordata; Actinopteri; Siluriformes; Siluridae.